GAGUGUAUAGCUCAGCGGUAGAGCACAUGCUUAGCAUGUCCAAGGUCCUAGGUUCAAUCCCCAGUACCUCCA
This 72-nucleotide transfer RNA is filed under the name Camelus bactrianus (Bactrian camel). It matches the Rfam family "tRNA". From Rfam's summary of the family: Transfer RNA (tRNA) molecules are approximately 80 nucleotides in length. Their secondary structure includes four short double-helical elements and three loops (D, anti-codon, and T loops). Further hydrogen bonds mediate the characteristic L-shaped molecular structure. tRNAs have two regions of fundamental functional importance: the anti-codon, which is responsible for specific mRNA codon recognition, and the 3' end, to which the tRNAs corresponding amino acid is attached (by aminoacyl-tRNA synthetases). tRNAs cope with the degeneracy of the genetic code in two manners: having more than one tRNA (with a specific anti-codon) for a particular amino acid; and 'wobble' base-pairing, i.e. permitting non-standard base-pairing at the 3rd anti-codon position. Lineage: Eukaryota; Metazoa; Chordata; Mammalia; Artiodactyla; Camelidae. The record is from Rfam by way of RNAcentral. RNAcentral also lists the same sequence under 2 other names.